AAAAGCUGCGCCCGACGAGAGCGCGAGAAGGGAAGCGGCAAAGAGGCCCGUCCGCAUGUGUCUGAUC
RNAcentral lists this small RNA (67 nucleotides) under Sinorhizobium meliloti 2011. Its description in RNAcentral is "putative ncRNA". Lineage: Bacteria; Pseudomonadati; Pseudomonadota; Alphaproteobacteria; Hyphomicrobiales; Rhizobiaceae. The record is from RNAcentral.